This 61-nucleotide transfer RNA is filed under the name Ictidomys tridecemlineatus (thirteen-lined ground squirrel). Its description in RNAcentral is "Spermophilus tridecemlineatus (thirteen-lined ground squirrel) tRNA". It matches the Rfam family "tRNA", at positions 6 to 65 of the family's 71-position model. Rfam says of the family: Transfer RNA (tRNA) molecules are approximately 80 nucleotides in length. Their secondary structure includes four short double-helical elements and three loops (D, anti-codon, and T loops). Lineage: Eukaryota; Metazoa; Chordata; Mammalia; Rodentia; Sciuridae. The record is from Rfam by way of RNAcentral.
UGUGGCUCUAUGGUAGAGCACUUGCCUAGCAUGUGUGAGGCCCUGAGUUCAAUUCUCAGCA